RNA transcript from Melospiza georgiana, 8920 nucleotides. It is a transcript of the gene named ethylmalonyl-CoA decarboxylase 1, with no coding region annotated. The transcript has 7 exons. Lineage: Eukaryota; Metazoa; Chordata; Aves; Passeriformes; Passerellidae. The record is from RefSeq and is a predicted model, not a curated record.
GCCUCCGCUGCUCCGCCGGCGCCGGGGCCGGUCAGAGCCGGGCCCAGAAAUGGCCCUUGCUCUGUGGAAGAACUUUCUUCAGAUUACAAUGAAAAGGAUACUACAGCAAAGAAGGUUGUCACUGCAUAAUGGUGCUCAUGGCUAUGAGGAAGAAUUGAUAAAGAAGAAACUUCAGCAGUUUUCUGGUGGAUCUGUCAACCUUGUGAAAGAAGACAAUGGCAUUGCAAUACUUACUUUGAAUAACCCCAAGUUCAUGAAUGCCUUCACAGGCACUAUGAUGGUAGAACUCCAGGAGAGGGUAACUGAACUGGAAAACUGGAAGGAUGGCAAAGGUCUUAUAAUCCAUGGUGCAGGAAAUACUUUUUGCUCAGGAUCUGAUUUGAAUGUUGUCAAAGAAAUAUCCAAUUCCCAGGAUGGGAUGAAUAUGUGCAUGUUUAUGCAAAACACCUUAACCAGGCUUAUGAGGUUGCCUUUGAUCAGUGUUGCACUAGUUCAAGGAAAAGCUUUUGGAGGAGGAGCAGAACUUACCACAGCAUGUGAUUUCAGGUUGAUGACGCCUGGAAGUGAGAUUCGGUUCGUGCACAAGCGCAUGGGGCUGGUGCCGGGCUGGGGGGGCGGUGCGCGGCUGGUGCGGCUCGUGGGCGGCGGGGCCGCGCUGCGGCUGCUGGCCGGGGCUGAGCGGGUGGGCCCCGAGAGAGCGCUGGGGCUGGGGCUCGCCGAGCUCACCCUGCCCGCCGCCGAUGAAGCCGCCGCGCUGGCAGAGGCCCGCGCCUGGCUCAGUCAGUACACGGACGGUCCGGCCGCCGUCGUUCGGGCCGUGAAAAAGGUCGUGACAGCAGCAAGAGAGCUCCCGCUGGAAGAUGCCCUAAGGACAGAGAAGGACAUUUUUGGAACUGUGUGGGGUGGGCCUGCCAACUUGGAAGCAUUGGUGAGAAGACCAAAACAUAAAUGAUGGUUUAUGCAUAAGAAAUGGGCUUGACUUUUUUGCAAACAAAGCUUUCAGUAAAGCAGCCGUUAAGCUGAAUCAUUUAAGGACUUGUCUAUUUAAAAUGGCAUUAACAUUCCUGCCAUUUAGGUCAGGCAGGCAUAUUUGGUGUGCAACCACAGAGAAAUCCCGGGCAGAUUCUCUGCUGUCCUAAUCACCCACUGAAUCGAGAUUAGUGAAAUUACUAUGUAAAGGUAAAUACUGUGCUGAAAAUAGAACUAUAAUUCAUUUGGAAUGAGGCUGAAGAUUAUUUUAUUUGGUGUUUUGUUUUGGUUUUUAACUAGUAUGGAGAUUAAUUACUUCAAAGAUAUGAGGUUUAUUCAUUUGCAGAACAGGUGCAUCUAAAGCUGCAAAAUAUGAGUUCCCCAACCAAUGUCUUUAAGCAGGUUGGAAAAGAUGAUUACUAGUGGAAGGAUAGCUUUUAUUUUUUCAUUCUAGUUAGUUCUUUGUGCAAUUGCUGAGAAAGUAUCCUUCAAUUUUAAUGGUGCUUUUACAGGAGAAGCUUUGAGUUACUGAGAAAAUUUUAGCAAUCAUUCGCUAUCACUGAUUCAGGCUUUAAAAUGUAUUUUGGUGUCUUCUCGCUGCUCAAGGAAUCAACUACCCACAUAUGCAUCUGCACAUUCCCAUAUCUUGUACCUGUGCAAAGCUGCUGGCCUGGUUCUUUACACAGAAUCUGGCUGAAAUCUUGGAAGGCAAUGAUGUAUCAUGUCCCAAAAAGGUUUGUCCUUAGGUGACUUCAGCAUUCUGGUAAGAUGUGAGUGGAUAUGUCUAUGUCUUUCUUCAAUGCAUUUUUACUGGUAGGGUAUACUUGGGCUUACUAGAAGGUUUGGAACUCAGUCUCUCCUUCAUGCCAGUGACUAUACAAGUAAUUGGAUAACUCAGUGGGGAAAGUUUUCCCUUUAGAAAUUAGAAACUGACAGAGUGCCUGCUUUAAAAAUAACAUCUGUAAGAGCAAAACCAUACAGACAUAUCUGUGACUGAGAGUUUCCUGUACUGUUGGUUAGGAUGCACUUGUCUCUAAAUCCAGCAGGGACUGAGAUCUGAGCCAAGGACCUGAGUACUCUAUGGAAGCAUGUAGAGAAGGAAGCUCUGGGCUUUGUGCCACUGACAUGCCUUCUUGCUCUGACCAGACAUAACUAGCUCAAGAUCAUGGAACGAGCUCCCUUAAGAAAAUAAGGCAGUAUCUUGGAUGGAAAUCCAUGUUAUGAUUUCUAGUGUGGCAGGAGUCCUGAGUUUUAGACAGUGAGGUAACUGCAUAUGUUUGAGGACUUGGGGACAAAUCAGUGUUGGGAAUUCGGGUUGGAUUGCCUGUUAAGAUUCUGUAAGUUUCGAGCAGAUUCUGUGAUCUGCUGGGGAUGUUUUACUGUGUGCUUCUGAAAGCAAUGAAUAUAGCAUGAAGCAACCAAGAGAAAUGCUGAGGAAAGGGAUGUGUUUUGAGUUAGCAUCUCAGAGAGGAUAUGGAACUUACCUCCCCCCUGUUGAUCCUGCAUCUUUGCCUUAGUAUCUGGAGCGCUAAUGGACGAAGAUUUAAAAUCUCUCUUCCCCAAAAAUAAAGUUCAAAUUUUUCUUUCAGGUUAGAGAAGACACAGGAAUGAGAACAUGGGGAAUAGAGUAGUGUUUUAGUUUGUGCCUUUCUCCCCCUGGCUCCUUUUUAUCCAGUAGCCCAGUGGUUACUUCUCUGUAGCUGGAUUCUCUCCCAUGCCCUAAAGAACUUCAAAACUAUUACCUCAGAAGAGCAAAUGCUUUAAUAUAAUCAGGCAGCACUUGACUGUUAAGUAGUGAAGCUGUUCUGCUUUUCAUGAAGUUUCUCAAGACUCAUGAGGGAUUCCAGACAGCAGCAUCACUGAACCUUCAAGGCACACUCCAGUCCAUACUUUUUGAAGCAAUAGCACAUAAUGCUGUUGUGAGUCAAAAAAAAAGUUUUAAAGGGCAACUGAUUAUGUCUUUGCUUUUAGUGAGAACAAAUGUGCCAUUACUAAUACUGUUAUUGUUUUUAAAAUUGAUAUGAAAAUUACUUAGAACCUGAGUAAGACCUUUGAAUCUUUUUUUUCUCUGGCAUAUUAGGCUCCUAAGUGUAUUCUGUGUACCGGGUUAUAGAAAUUUGAGAGGGAAGAAAUUGUAGGACAAAGGCAGAAUCUGGUUUCUUUCACAUUUUGAACCAGAUCUGUGCUGGCAGUUAGUGAAUGGUAAGUACACCUCUGGGGGAUCUCUUUCCAUUUUGAUUUAUAGACAAUGAGCUUAAUUCUCAUUUCAGCAAAUGUAUUUUCCCAGCCACCCUCUCUGAUUUGUAUCAAAGGCCAAUGUUUGCUUCUAAGAAAACAGGACAAAUAACUAACUAUUACACACCAAGACAGAUUCAGAACUGUUCCAGAGAGGGUUAUGGAAACCCAUAUUGCUGGUGUCAUAAAUAUACCAAGCAUAGGUACAGGACAUUCUGAAGAACAUUACAGGCUGUGAUCAAGGAUUUUGUGGGUAGUCUUAUACCAUAUUCUCUUACUAUAAAAGUAGAGCCCUUCAUACAAAAACCAGCCCAGCUAUAUUACCAUGAGUGCUAGGAUGAAAGUUCCAGACUGAGAUGAAAUGGAAUCCCAUUUUACCCAUUUGAAACCUAAAUGCGUUAUUUUACAGAAUACUUUCUUAUCAUCUUAAAGUGGCAAAUAUCUUUAACCAGCAGUUUUUAAAUGUUUGUAUUUUCUUUACAACUGUUAAAGAUGUCAAGCUUCAUCUCAGGGGUGUUUUUCCCUUUUGAAAUGGUUUAAAAACAAGCACUAAAUGCGCAAAAUAAAUUAGAAACAUCAAAAUUGAUAGUCCCAGUCCCCUAAUUAAAUAGCAUGCCAGCUUUUGUAUUUCCUAGGGGCCAGUUUGCCAGCUUCCUCCUCAGCAAACUAAGUUUCCUAUUACAUUGUGAAAUGUCUGUCUUGUUUUUCUUCUGUGUACUGGGCCAACCCAAGGGUUUAAUGGGAGUGUGGAUUCUGUACCAAGCCUGUAAAGGUUGGAUACUGGAGAUCACUUUUUGCAAUACACAUAUUUCUAUCUUAUUUGCUGCUGAUAAAAAUAUAUUUACCCGAUGGUCAGUCUAGAUAAGCAAGGUGUUCUUGCAGAAUGCUUGGGUCUCUAUCUGAUUUAUAUUUUUUUUAGCCAUGAAAUAGGAUUCCUGUAUCUGUGGUUAUCUGUUCUGGAAAUGAUGAAAUGCUGUAGAUUUUAUAGUAUUUAAAUUUCCUUUCUCAUUUUCCCUUCUGCUCCACUAUGCAUUUCUCUGGCUAUGCUGCACAACUUGAAAAUCAUUUAGUGCCUGGAAUUACAGUCAACCACAUAAUGCAGUGUGGCUGUGGCUUUGCUAAAAUGGACAGAGAACACAUUUCCUACUGAAAGUAAUGAUUUAACUAUAAGAUGGGAAUUAUCAGUUGCUACUUUUCCCUAGCUUGAUCUGGGGAGUGCAUUUGCUACUCUGAUGUCUGGCUAUUAAGGUCUUACCAGCCUUACUUUAACUAAUUUUAGUGUUUCACAGCUGCAGUCAGCCAGCAGGAGCCAAAAGUAGUAUCAUGGGUGUGAGGCUGAACUCUUUACUUGGGUCAAAAACCCCAAGGAUAAUCACCGAUAGAAUAAUUUGUAGACUGUUUGGGCUGUAAAUCCUAAAGCAUAUAGUGAGUCCUGUUCCUCUAUUUUCUUUCUUGCUUUUUUCAACCCAUACUCUCAUAUGAAGCAUGUGCACAUAGCUGAAGUGUUCUUCAUGAAGGCUUUUGUAGUACAAAGUCAUACUUUGGUUAGAGCCACUGCAUACUAACUCAAAUCAGAGAAAUAAGACAGCUAGCAACUAACAGCGAUAAAAGCAUUCCAUCCAGUUUCUUUCCUGAAGUCCAUGUAAUUGGCAUAUUUCCUUAUGGGACUGGAAGAUUAUAGUGAAAAUCUGUGAUCAAGAGCAUUUAUUCCUAACUGAGAAUGGAGGAAAUCUUCCUUAUUCCAUCCUAGUCUCACCUGCCAUUUUGUGACCCACUGAUCUCACCUGUAGGCAGCAGAGGAGGGGCACAACUUUGUCCAAGAUCAGACACAUCAUCCAUCAUUACACUAAGAAGAACGUUACAGAUGUUUAAGUCUACCAUUUUUAAAAGUCAGCCUUUUAAUUCCCUUCAAACAGUUGUUUCCUUAAAGCAACUUCUGUCUUAAGAUCAGUAGUACCUAUGUAUCAGCUACUGUUCCUUUCUAUUCCGAGAUACAGAUACUAAGAAUUGGAGUUUAAUUAGCUUUAUUUUAAAAUAAAGUCCAGAAUCAACUAAUGCUGUUUCUCAGUCUGAAAAAAAUGUUAAAAAACUGUUAAAGAACAGAGAGAUAAAAGACAAGCUGUGUUUCUCAAGAUUUGGCUUCUAACAUUCAGAAGUCUGUUGAAAUGCUACACUGCUAAUACAAGCACAAAACUACAAUUCCUGUGCUGCUGCCAUGCUGUUUUUGUAUGAACAGAAGAACAGCUGUAAUAUCCAUGUCCUUUGUUAUAGGGUCAACUUUGAUAACUUACCCUCUUUUAUCAACAUUUCUGCUGUUAAAAUAAGGCUUGUGUGUGGUAAUUCUGCCUGCCAUCAACAGUGAAGUGAGUUAAUCAGCUCUUCAGAUGUCUGUCAUGUUAACAUACCAAGUCAGAAAACAAACUUUGGAAUUCCCUCUGUUCACUCCCUGAAGUAGAGUUGAAUGGACCUUCAGCCAACCAGUUACUUUGGUACCUCCUUAAAGAAAUUUUGGUUCUUUCCUCAAGAGGUGACAUAGCUGCAAAUUGAACUUAAACAAUCUCUCUUCAGACUAUAGGUGAUCAUCUGUUUGAUUAAGGGACUCCCUGAACAGUAUCUCAGACUAGGUUUACACAACAGAAAAUAAGCCUGACAGCAGCAUCCAGCUGAAGAGUUCCCCCACUCUGUUUCUCAGUUCCCUUCCACCAUGGUACACUACCCUCAAACUGAAUUCAGAGCAACCACAGGGAUGCAAAAAGAACCAGAUCUGAAAACUGAGGUGGCCUUUUCAGAAGAUACCCUGGACUCCUUUUCCUUAAACAUCAAGUGAACUCCCUGAGAUACGAGUACCUCUCGAAAGGAAUCACUGCAGACCAGCAGAAGCAGCAGUGUAUUGUAGAAGACACACAACUCUGAUCUGACUGGCUUGUGAAGUAAUUGCCUUUACUUUUUCUGGCCAUAUCUUAUUUCUGUUAUUAAAGAUGAUUUUGUAACUGUAAGAGAAUGGGGAAUGCAAAACUGCAUCACUUUGGCAUUGUGUAGGAUUUAAGCAGUUGAAAAAUUCUAGCCUAAAUAUGCAAAUGCCUUCUCAACUACAUUUUUGCCAUGGCAAUCUUUCACGGUCUGUUUCAUGGUAAUUUUUCUUUUAUUUAUUAACAAUCAAAACCAAAUACCAGAUAUCAAAUGAGGGAGGAGAAUAGGCUUUGGGGAAUGGGGCCUAAAAAGGUGCCUUUUUUAAUUUAAAAUCCCCAAGAAACUUCAAGACUGAUAUUCAACAAAACAGCCUUUCAGUGGAAGUAGUCUUUGUUGUAUGGGCAGCCAGCUAGGAGUAGUUCAUGUUAAACUACCACAAGCAUGUGGGCCAGAAGGGACCUUCAGAGUCACCUAGUCCAGUCUCCUGCUCCACGUGGCACCAACAGCAAUGCUACAUGAGACCAGCUAUGGCUUUGUCUAGCUGGGUUUUUUUGAAAUCUGCAAGGAUGGAAAUACCACAGGCUCCCUGGACAGCCUGUUCUAAUGUUAUACACAUUUCUAACAAAAUGUGUAACCUCAAGAGAAAAUGCCUAGUAUUACUGUAAAAGCUUCCACUGAUAUAUGCUGGGAUUAAACAAAAACCUAUGCCUCAGUAUCUAUAUUUAUCUUUGCAAUAAUGUAUCGUGUGCUAUUUACUUAAAACAUUUUUCUGUAUGCUGUCUGUUUCCUUCUAUCACUAAAAUUUCCUCUUCAAAGACCAGUGCCUCUUUAAUCCUUUUUUUAUCAAAUAAUUAUUUUAAAAGCUCUACAGCUCAAAUACUUUUUCCUGAAGCAGCACAAAAUUGUAUCCAUCUACAUUUCAGUUUCAUAUCUGAAUUUCUUUUUCUGAGAUUAAUGACCAAUCUGCAUAACAGUUCUUAAAUCAGCAUGCCAGAUACACACACAGCAUUACCUUCCAGCUGGCAACUGUGAUUUUACUGCACAGCACACAUCUGUGAGAUCCACUCUAACAAUGUUGUGAACAAGUUGCUUUUUGGAAGCUGCACACUUCUGAGGAUGUAUUUUACAACAGAUUUUUAUAGCAAAUGUUGGGGUUUACACGAAGAAACUUAUUAGAAAAAGGGAGAACAAACUCUGUUGAGAUUUCAGACUACCACAAACACAACCCAACCAUCAUUUCACAACAGAAGAGCUGAAAGAGAAAUCCAUUUAUUGACUGAUUUUUGCUAACCAUGGCUGAGGGAAAGGAUCUUAAUUGUCAAGUGCCCCCACAAUGAGAUAGUACAAUGCAAAAAAGCACAGCAGCAGAGCUUUUGACUUCCAUGCUACAGUUUUACAAAAGGAUGCUUCUCCCUGAAUAUGCUUUAUAAAAUUAUCUUUUCAGAGUGAAAGAAAAGAUUAAAACAACCUGUAGGUAAGUAACUUCUACACAAGUCACCUACAUAAUUAAGAUUUUGGAGGUGAUUAAAAUUCAAUAAAGGGAUCAAAAGGCAAUGCACUAUGACAAACCAAAUUGUGAUACCAUGAGCUAAACUAAAGAGUUUACCCUGAGGUAAACUAAAAGAAGGAUUAAAAGUUCUCACCUGUUUACUGAAAGCAAAAAAUGCUAACAUUUGAACUGUGCUCAAUAGGUCACCCAUUAAUUUGAGGGAUCUUUGGGGUCCCUUACUAGAUCAAGAUAAUAAUGCAGGAUAUGAAAAUGAGUAAAUGCUUUUUCUCGAAAUUCUUAUUUGAUUUUUAAUGACUCUAAGGAAAAUGUUAUGUAUAAAAUGAAUAGAGCGGGAGGAGCAAACCCUUAUCUCUAAAAGUGCUCUGCAGGAACAUAAAACUCUGAUACGAUAAGCACAACUGCAGUUGCAUGUGCUCAGAAUGCAGGACAAUUAUGCACUCGAAGAUUUAUAUCAACUACAUGGAUUCUGUCUCACUUUUUGUUUUUAAGGCAUGAUGCUAUUUUUUCUUUAAUUUACCUUCUUAAUACCAAAUCUAGGUCAUGGGGUUUGUUUACAAGCUGGUAAGGGACGUACAUGUAGGUUUUUACUGAAGAGGUAAUCCUUCAGAACCGAGGACAAACAUCUUGGACUGCUAUUCUGCUAUGUUAUGGCUGUGGAAGCACUUCCACUGCAACUUCAUGGUACUAAGAACUAAACAAAACUGACCACACAGUGUUUUUCCUGAAAUUAAAAGUAAUAUUUUGUAACAAGGUUCAAUCAAAACAGGCUUUAUAUAAGAACUGUUAUCAAAUAAGAAAGCUCUAUUUUUGGGGGGACUGGGUUUCCUUUAAAACCCUCCUGGCAUCGUAGAAAAUCAUAUUCUUGAUUACUGACUACUUGACUAAGAAUUAACUAAACACAAAGAAUAAUUCUAAAAAUAAUUUUAUUUUAAGUAUUUCGAUCCUCAAUUCAGGUAUAAAUAAGGGACCAAAAAGAACCUGAACUCUGCAUUUUAACAAGUACAGCCUAAAACUGACGGAAACAGUAUGGAAUUAGGCCAAAAUCUUACAAGAUCCCACGUCUUGUGGUUUUUAUUGGCAAUAUUAAAUAAUACAGGUAAUUUCUAAGCUAUGGGUCCUUCAUCAAUACAUGAAGUAUGGAAGAGGUGAUGUAUAACAAUUACAUGAAAAGACCCCAGGCCUUCUUAGACUCUAAUGGAAGAAAAUGUAAAUUCCCACAAAACCACUUCAAAUUCCAGGUCCAAUUAUAACUCCAACUAAACAGUCCAUCAAGGAGCUGACAUGUUUAAGUUCAUU